This 249-nucleotide ribosomal RNA is filed under the name uncultured prokaryote. Its description in RNAcentral is "partial 16S ribosomal RNA". It matches the Rfam family "Bacterial small subunit ribosomal RNA", at positions 524 to 772 of the family's 1533-position model. The record is from RNAcentral.
UACGGAGGAUGCAAGCGUUAUCCGGAUUCAUUGGGUUUAAAGGGUGCGUAGGCGGACUAUUAAGUCAGUGGUGAAAGCCUGCAGCUUAACUGCAGAACUGCCAUUGAUACUGAUAGUCUUGAGUUUGGUUAAGGUAGGCGGAAUGUGUAAUGUAGCGGUGAAAUGCUUAGAUAUUACACAGAACACCAAUUGCGUAGGCAGCUUACUGAGCCGACACUGACGCUGAGGCAUGAAAGCGUGGGGAUCGAA